Molecule: non-coding RNA, 45 nt
Organism: Schistosoma margrebowiei
Lineage: Eukaryota; Metazoa; Platyhelminthes; Trematoda; Strigeidida; Schistosomatidae
Source: Rfam
AUCCAACUGACGAGUCUAAAAUAGAACGAAACGCUUGUCCGGAAU